Molecule: ribosomal RNA, 406 nt
Filed under: uncultured bacterium
Lineage: Bacteria
Description: bacterial SSU rRNA
Rfam family: Bacterial small subunit ribosomal RNA
Source: RNAcentral
GUGGGGAAUAUUGCACAAUGGGGGAAACCCUGAUGCAGCAACGCCGCGUGAAGGAAGAAGGCCUUUGGGUCGUAAACUUCUGUCCUAGGGGAAGAAGAAUGACGGUACCCUUGGAGGAAGCCCCGGCUAACUACGUGCCAGCAGCCGCGGUAAUACGUAGGGGGCAAGCGUUAUCCGGAAUUAUUGGGCGUAAAGAGUACGUAGGCGGUUCUCUAAGCGCAGGGUAUAAGGCAAAGGCUUAACCAUUGUUCGCCCUGUGAACUGGAGGACUUGAGUACAGGAGAGGAAAGCGGAAUUCCUAGUGUAGCGGUGAAAUGCGUAGAUAUUAGGAGGAACACCAGUGGCGAAGGCGGCUUUCUGGACUGAAACUGACGCUGAGGUACGAAAGCGUGGGGAGCAAACAGGA